UACGUAGGUGGCGAGCGUUAUCCGGAAUGAUUGGGCGUAAAGGGUGCGCAGGCGGUCCUGCAAGUCUGGAGUGAAACGUAUGAGCUCAACUCAUGCAUGGCUCUGGAAACUGGAGGACUGGAGAGCAGGAGAGGGCGGUGGAACUCCAUGUGUAGCGGUAAAAUGCGUAGAUAUAUGGAAGAACACCAGUGGCGAAAGCGGCUCUCUGGUCUGUAACUGACGCUGAGGUUCGAAAGCGUGGGUAGCAAACAGG
Molecule: ribosomal RNA, 253 nt
Filed under: uncultured Allobaculum sp.
Lineage: Bacteria; Bacillati; Bacillota; Erysipelotrichia; Erysipelotrichales; Erysipelotrichaceae
Description: partial 16S ribosomal RNA
Rfam family: Bacterial small subunit ribosomal RNA
Source: RNAcentral